This 218-nucleotide ribosomal RNA is filed under the name uncultured bacterium. Its description in RNAcentral is "partial 16S ribosomal RNA". It matches the Rfam family "Bacterial small subunit ribosomal RNA", at positions 1283 to 1500 of the family's 1533-position model. The record is from RNAcentral.
AAGUCUCAGUUCGGAUUGCAGGCUGAAAUUCGCCUGCAUGAAGCCGGAAUUGCUAGUAAUGGCAGGUCAGCAUACUGCCGUGAAUACGUUCCCGGGCCUUGUACACACCGCCCGUCACACCAUGAGAGUUGGGAAUACCCGAAGCCUGUGAACUAACUGUAAAGAGGCAGCAGUCGAAGGUAGAAUCAAUGAUUGGGGUGAAGUCGUAACAAGGUACC